UUAAUUGUCUCUUUGUUUUGAUUAAUUAAAAUGAAGACUGUGAUUAAUUAAAAGGUACUGAGUUGGUUUAAAAGUGAAUUCUUUUAACUUUCUCAUGGUUUUGUCGUUUUUUGAUCAUCUUACUUCUUGGAUUAUUGAGUUUUGGUUGAUUGUUUUUGGUCAAUAUUUUGAUAGUCAAUUUGGUGGUUUGUCCUUAAAUUGGAUUAGAUUUGAAUUCUAAUUUUCUAAUCAAUUUCUGUCAUCAAAUGGAUUGAAUGGAGAAGGUCAAUUCCUGAGAUAAGAUGAGAUUUUCUUUCUUUGUUAUAGGAAAUUUUAUAACCGAAAAAGAAACAAUAACAUGGACUUGUUAUCUUUCCAAGAGUAGUGGUGGUUUUAACGUCUAAUUUAAGGAGCUGUUAAUUGUGUUAAAAUUUACCUGUUGGAAUUUGAUAAAUUGUUCUUUUGUCGUAAAACAAUGCGAAAGGUAACCUAAUGAUAACAAAUGUUCAAACAAGAUAAUAUGUUGGCUAUUUUAAUGGUCGGUGUAACAUUGAAGAAAAGAGGAAAAUCCAUUAAAAGUAGCGUCACAAUGGACAAGGAACCCAAAUCCAUAAAUGGAAAACAAGAAGACCAAAUAGGAAAAGAAGAGAAAAAAUUUACCUUAGGAAAUAUGAGCAACUAGUGCCAUCUUAUUUUCACUUCGGACAAUCAGUGUAAACAAAAGUGACCAUUUUAAAAUUUAAUUUCCAUUCUAAAGGGUAGAAGAAAGUGAAAGGGUAACAUUGAUUAACUCUAAUUGUUGGCUCGUUGCUACAAUUUACUCUCACUUGACAACUUGUCAGAAAGGAAAAACUUUUCCUUCUCAACAGUGAUAACCUGUUUACAAGCUCGGUUGAUUUUAAUGUGAAAAAAAAGCUGAAAUAUACAAAUUGAGUCACAAUCAGAUAUUCAUUCAGAAGUCAUCGUGUCGACGAAAUGAUCUUUAGACGAUUCACCCUGAGGAUCAUGCUCAAGGUUCUGUUUUCAAGUGAAUUUCAAAUAUAUUUAGUUUUACAUGUUCUUUUCCUACCUGAUGAAUACACACAUACAUAUAAGUGUGAAUACUUUUUCUUGAAUCUCUCGCUCACUAAUUCCUCUUACAUGAUGAAUAUACACCAAAAGUGAGCGAGUGUAAGUACGCUUAGAAAAUGAGUAUAUAUACAUGUACAUGUUUAAUAAGAUAGAUGAUAGUGAAUAAUUGAGUCGUUGUUUUGCAACAAUUAAAUGACCUUUCGACCCAAUUCUCAUCUUUCGAUGGAAUAGCGUUUGUCUCUUUUUCGUUGAUUUUUACUUUUCUUCAUUUUCUACUAUAAGAAAACAAAAAAUACAAAAUAUUUAAGAAAAAAAAAUCUCUAUUCUUAUUAUUACUUUAUGCAUAUUAUCAUUUUCUCAUUAUGAUUAUCAAACUAUUAUCAUUAUCACUUUGAUUCUGUUUCUUACCUUUUCUUAUUAUUAUUAUUGUUGUUGUUUUUUGUUAUGCUUUGCAAAUCAAUUGAAGUUUGCCAAAGGAACCAUUUUCAAGGAGGAUAGAGAGAGAGUGUGUGUGAGAGAGAGAGAGACAGGGAGAGGGUGGAGAGUGAGAGGAGGUGGAAAAAUAUUGAAAAAGAAAACGCAAAUUACUGGAUCAACAUCAACAAUUAUUGAAAUUAUAAUUCAAUCAAAGAUGGAGAUAUGUUUAUAUUGUAUAUGUAUGGAAAAAUCUGGUCCAAGGUUACUCAACGGUAUCAUGUUUGAACCAAUUGGAAACCUUGGAUUGGAGAUGAAGGAAGGAAGACGAAAAGGAAGAGAGUGAGUGGAGUGAGAGAAAUGAAGGUAACUCACAACGUAAACGAACAGGAGAAGGAAGAAGGAAGAAAAUGAAAAGACGAAUAAGAUGAGAUGGAAAAAACAACGAUAUCAACACAAUGGCGAUCGUGAAGAUAAAGUGAAAAUUGGAAAACGUAGUAUUUACAAAGAGAUGUCUGAGGUUCCACUCAUGUUCUGUCAAGUCAUGUAAUAAUAUUCACUCAGUAGAAUCAUUUGGGAUCAAUGGUAUCAUCAUCUUCACAUAUGCAAGAUGAAUUUUAUGCAUAUAUUGCAAUCAUGUUAAGAAGAGAAGUGAGAUCUGUGUGUGUGUGAGAGAGAGAGAGAGAGAGAGAGAGAAAAAACAUCAAAAAGGUAAGAAAAGAAAGUGAAUAAAGAAGCCAGAUAAAAGAGAGGAUCUGGCAAAUCUCCAUGUUACUCUAUCAACUAUCAUGAUCAUUGAAUUGACAAACGUUUUAACCACUGUGAGUGUCUCUCUAUCUCUCUCUAAUCCAAGGGAAAUGGCCAUUGAAAUGAUGAUUAUUGAAAAACGUUCACAAAAAAUCUCAACCGAAGGACUUGCAAAGUAAAACAACAAAACAGUUACUUAAUCAAUUGAUGAUGAAGUUCAAUGAUAAUGGUUAAUUAAACAAAAAAGCAUUCGCAUCGAUAAUCGACCUCCAAACUUGUCCACUUGACCUUUCACCAUUUUCGCCUUGAGGUAAAUUGAUGGCAAAUGAUACAAGGAUAACCAGUAGAACUAAUGAAAGAAACUAGAGGCUAUUCCAAAAUAAUCUUCUUAUUGAAAUUGGUCAUUUUUCUUUUCAGUAUCUAUUUAGCAUCUAUCAUCCACGCCCUGGAAAUGUAUGUUCCCUAUUCCUGAAAUUUUCUGUCAAAAGGUGGAUCCACUUCGUAGGAAAAAAAAAAGAAAUGAUGUUAAUUUCAAGUAGAGAACCAGAAGAAAGAAGAUGAAGAAAGAGAAAGAGAAUCAAUCUGAUGAAAUUUAUUCCUGAUAAUUGUGGAAAUGCAAAACGAGUGAAUAUAAGAUAAUAUAUGAAAGACAGGUCCUCAUCUUCAUCCUCAUCUUCAUCAAAUUCCCUCAACCAAAGUGUAAAAUUAAAUGAAGAAAAAAACCUGAUUUGAUUUAUCUAGAGAUUCUGUUCAAGUUCAUUCAGGUGAACUUCAUGAAAACAAGAUAUUUAUUCAUCAUCUGAAAGAAGCAGAAUGAAGUUACACAUUAAUAAUGUCCACUGGCCUCUUCUCUUUAUGCAAUUCAUUUUCUUCAUCUUCUUAUUCAUCCACAAAGCCGUAAUCUCACCAGUAACAAUAUUUUAUCUCUUUCUUCAUCACCAGCUUUAUAUCAACACCUAUCAUAUUAACCCAAUGAAUGGAAUAUAAUGUGAUCAUAAUCAUCAUUUAGAAAGUAAAUCACAUUUCAAGUUAUAUCAGUUAACGUUGAAAUUUUGACAAGUUCAACUAUCAUGAUGAUCGUCGUGAAGAAGGGCAUUCAUGUAACAGCAUCAAAUUGUGAUGGUUAUGAUUAUAUUAAUUGUAAUACUUUCACAUGUUGAUGAUGGAAAGACACACAAAAUGGUGAUAUUGAUGAAAAGGAACCAAUAAUGGAGAAAAAGUAAAAGCAAAUUAAGCAACAAGGGAAAAGACAAUCAACAUAUGAUGAUGAUGAAAAAAAAGGAAGAUGACAAGAUUAUCAUUUGUAUGUUAACUCAACCAGAUUUUACCAGAAUUAAGAUGAGAAUUAUUAUUAUCAACACUUAAUUCGUUUACAAUUAGGAGUGUGUACUUUUUUUUCUCUAUCCCAAGAGAUCGUUCGACGACAAUUAUGGCCCUUGAAAGUUCAUUUCAUGGAAUCUGAAAGGAAUUGACCUUUGUCCAUUUCAUGGUUAUUCAUUGGUUAAUCGUCUGGUGGAACUGAUGAAAGAUUCCAUUGAUUAUGUAUCAUGAUUAUCGCCAUUGUUGACUGAAUAACAAUGGAAUUGAUUGUAUCCCUUGUAAUUGUAAUAAUUAUUACGUCUUCUAGUGGCUCCAUUUAAUAACAUUAUCUGUAUUUUCUCAUUAUUAUUAUCUCAUUACUAUCAUGAUGAUUAGUUGAUUAUCUUUAUUACUAUUAUUCAUUAAUACAGUUAAUCUGUUUUUUCCCAGUCUCUCAAACUUCAAUCCUGUGAUUCUCAAGGUUUAAUUGUUGCUGAUUGAAAAAAAUAAAUUGUGUCUCAAUUGUGUCAAAAUCUGACUGUCAAUGGCUGAUUUACAUUGGAAAAUCAACUAUACCAAUUAAUUAAAUUGUUACUAAGAUAAAUUUUAAUAACUCACCAGUCAUUUGAUUGUAUUCUUACUAAUUUAAUCUAUUUCUAUGAUUUAUUAA
Panonychus citri (citrus red mite) is the source of this 4180-nucleotide long non-coding RNA. RefSeq lists it as uncharacterized. The record is from RefSeq and is a predicted model, not a curated record. Lineage: Eukaryota; Metazoa; Arthropoda; Arachnida; Trombidiformes; Tetranychidae. The transcript is spliced from 8 exons.